RNAcentral lists this ribosomal RNA (1634 nucleotides) under human gut metagenome. Its description in RNAcentral is "bacterial LSU rRNA". It matches the Rfam family "Bacterial large subunit ribosomal RNA", at positions 831 to 2479 of the family's 2925-position model. The record is from RNAcentral.
AAUCGAACCCGGAGAUAGCUGGUUCUCCUCGAAAUAGCUUUAGGGCUAGCCUCAUGGAUCAUUGAUGGGGGUAGAGCACUGAAUGUGCGCGGGGGCCACAAAGCCUACCAAACGCUAUCAAACUUCGAAUACCAUACAAUGCAGACCAUGGGAGUCAGUCCGCGAGAGAUAAGUUCCGCGGGCAAAAGGGGAACACCCCAGAUCAACCGCUAAGGUCCCCAAGUUCACGUUAAGUGGAGAAGGAUGUGGAAUUGCACAGACAACCAGGAUGUUGGCUCAGAAGCAGCCACACAUUUAAAGAGUGCGUAAUAGCUCACUGGUCGAGUGAUUGUGCGCCGAAGAUGUCCGGGGCUAAACGUGACACCGAAGCGAUGGGUGCAUCUGAAGAAGAUGCGCGGUAGAGGAGCAAUGUGCAGAGGCAGAAGCCGUAUCGAGAGGCACGGUGGACACUGCACAAGAGAGAAUGCCGGUAUGAGUAGCGAGAGGCAUGCGAGAAACAUGCCCGUCGAAAGCCCAAGGUUUCCUGGGGAAGGUUCAUCCGCCCAGGGUAAGUCGGGGCCUAAGCCGAGGACGGAAGUCGUAGGCGAUGGACAGCAGGUGUAGAUUCCUGCACUACCGAUGGAAUGAAGCAGUGACACAGAAGGAUAACUCGAGCAGGGUGAUGGUCAACCCUGUGCAAGCAUCAAGGUUGGGUUGUAGUGAAGUACGCAAUCCUAUAAGCUGAGGUGUGAUGCGGACCGAAAUUUCAGUAGGGAAGCGAGUGAGUUCACGCUGGCGAGAAAAGCUGCUAGUACAUCCAAAGGUACCCGUACCGGAAACCGACGCAGGUGGGCGAGGAGAGAAUCCUGAGACGAACGGGAGAACCCUUGUUAAGGAACUCGGCAAAAUGACCCCGUAACUUCGGGAUAAGGGGUGCCUGCGAGAGCAGGCCGCAGAGAAUAGUCACAAGCGACUGUUUAGCAAAAACACAGGUAUCUGCGAAAGCGAGAGCUGACGUAUAGGUGCUGACACCUGCCCGGUGCUGGAAGGUUAAGGGAACAUGUUAGAGCAAUCGAAGCAUCGAACCGAAGCCCCAGUAAACGGCGGCCGUAACUAUAACGGUCCUAAGGUAGCGAAAUUCCUUGUCGGGUAAGUUCCGACCCGCACGAAUGGUGUAACGACUUGUGAGCUGUCUCAACAGGGGGCCCGGUGAAAUUGAAGUAUGGGUGAAGAUGCCCAUUACCCGCGACUGGACGGAAAGACCCCGUAGAGCUUUACUGCAGCCUGAUAUUGAGUUUCGGUAACUGAUGCACAGGAUAGGUGGGAGUCUGAGAGACAUGGGUUUCGGCUCAUGUGGAGACGGUGUUGGGAUACCACUCUUCGGUUACUGAAAUUCUAACAUAGCUCUGUGAAACCAGAGGAUGGACAGUGUCAGGUGGACAGUUUGACUGGGGCGGUCGCCUCCGAAAGAGUAACGGAGGCGCCCAAAGGUACCCUCAGAAUGGAUGGAAACCAUUCGAAGAGAGCAAAGUCAGAAGGGUGCUUGACUGCGAGACCAACAAGUCGAGCAGGUACGAAAGUAGGGCUUAGUGAUCCGGCGGUAAGAGAGUGGAAUUGCCGUCGCUCAACGGAUAAAAGCUACCUCGGGGAUAACA